UGUAAGCGUAUACCAAAGUUGUUGCAGUUAAAACGCUCGUAGUCGGAAUUUGGCAGUUCCGGAUGUGUGCACGUCGUGUGCGCACUUCGCGGGGAUUGCUUUUGUGGUCUUGCGUAGGAUGAGGCACUUUUAUUAGUGAACGUCCUCACGCAACCACUUUUUACUGUGAGAAAAUCAGAGUGCUCAAAGCAGGCAUUUGCCGAGAAUGUAUUAGCAUGGAAUAAUAGAAUAGGACUUGGUUCUAUUUUGUUGGUUUGUUGGGACUGAGUAAUGAUUAAGAGGGACAGUUGGGGGCAUUUGUAUUUCGGUGCUAGAGGUGAAAUUCUUAGAUUACCGAAAGACAAACUGCUGCGAAAGCGUCUGCCAAGGAUGUUUUCAUUGA
RNAcentral lists this ribosomal RNA (382 nucleotides) under uncultured eukaryote. RNAcentral describes it as "partial 18S ribosomal RNA". It matches the Rfam family "Eukaryotic small subunit ribosomal RNA", at positions 592 to 976 of the family's 1831-position model. The record is from RNAcentral.